Acanthosepion pharaonis is the source of this 89-nucleotide non-coding RNA. NCBI's taxonomy places the organism in Eukaryota, Metazoa, Mollusca, Cephalopoda, Sepiida, Sepiidae. The record is from the annotation of a GenBank genome assembly.
AAGUUCCCGUAUGAUCACUGAAGUUAAGCAAUGUCGAGCCUGGUCAGUAACAAGAUGGGUGACCUCUUGGGAAUAUCAGUUGUUGUAAG